UACGUAGGGGGCAAGCGUUGUCCGGAUUUAUUGGGCGUAAAGAGCUCGUAGGCGGCUUGGCAAGUCGGGUGUGAAAACUUCAGGCUCAACCUGGAGCGGCCACUCGAUACUGCUAUGGCUUGAGUCCGGUAGGGGACCACGGAAUUCCUGGUGUAGCGGUGAAAUGCGCAGAUAUCAGGAGGAACACCAGUGGCGAAGGCGGUGGUCUGGGCCGGAACUGACGCUGAGGAGCGAAAGCGUGGGUAGCAAACAGG
This 254-nucleotide ribosomal RNA is filed under the name uncultured bacterium. RNAcentral's name for it is "partial 16S ribosomal RNA". It matches the Rfam family "Bacterial small subunit ribosomal RNA", at positions 524 to 776 of the family's 1533-position model. RNAcentral also lists the same sequence under 1 other name. The record is from RNAcentral.